Molecule: ribosomal RNA, 261 nt
Filed under: uncultured prokaryote
Description: partial 16S ribosomal RNA
Rfam family: Bacterial small subunit ribosomal RNA
Source: RNAcentral
UACGUAGGUGGCAAGCGUUGUCCGGAUUUAUUGGGCGUAAAGCGAGCGCAGGCGGUUCCUUAAGUCUGAUGUGAAAGCCCACGGCUUAACCGUGGAGGGUCAUUGGAGACUGGUCGACUUGAGUGCAGAAGAGGGAAGUGGAAUUCCAUGUGUAGCGGUGAAAUGCGUAGAGAUAUGGAGGAACACCAGUGGCGAAGGCGGCUUCCUGGUCUGUAACUGACACUGAGGCGCGAAAGCGUGGGGAGCAAACAGGAUUAGAUA